Molecule: long non-coding RNA, 1386 nt
Filed under: Homo sapiens (human)
Lineage: Eukaryota; Metazoa; Chordata; Mammalia; Primates; Hominidae
Description: lncAB15.2
Source: RNAcentral
UGCAUGACUUUUUACUGACUCAUUUGUCAAAACACUCUGACAUUAUCUAUGUAUGAUCAUUUUAGAGAUUGAGGAAAAUAAACUCAAGAACUGGUGACUUGCCCAGGUCACACUACUGGUGGGUAGCAAAACAGCAGCUAGAAUCUAUAGCUUCUGGCUUUCCAGCCAGUCCUUGUUCCACUACAUUCAUUACUUCUUUGCUGGACUGAAAAGCUUAGGACUUUUCCUGUAAGUAAUACGGAGCCAUUGAAGAUCUGAAGUUUCAAGGAAGUGGUAGGAUGGAUUCUCUUUUACUAUAAGCCCUGUGCCCAUCCUGCUGUGAUUCAGGAGUCUCGCAGAAGACAUCAGAAUGCCUUUCUCUGAGUCACAGUCUGUAUCUUCUAGAAAAGGCUGUCCAUCUUCACCCCAAGCCCACUGGCUCCUGAGAUACGACAUCCAGACCCAGUGCAGCUGGACCUGGCCCAGGAAGAUCAUGCGGUUUCUGGGAAGCACUGGAGAAGGAAAAGGCUGAAGAAAGGAAGACCGGAAAAGAAAUACAAGUCCUUCCGCCUUGGCAAAGAUGAUAGUACCGUUCCCUUCAGUGUUCCGGUUCUGCUCUAUUGGAUAAGUUCCGGUUUGACUAUGACUACGUGAAAAUGUGGAACCAGACCUUCACCCCACAUUCCAGCUCCAGCUCUACCACAGAGGAAGUGCAAUAUCACCUUAGUUAUUCAACACAUUAUGCUCCUCGUGAUACAACCAGAGUUCACAUCAGCAAUCUUGGCAGCUCUCACCACGCUGCUGACUCACGACUCUCUCAUGUCCCAAUUUCCUGUCCAUUGUUCUUUCCUCUACUUGGCCUGAUUUCUAAAGGCCUCUCUUGGUUGCAUUAAGCGGGAUUCCUGAGGGAUUCCCUUGGCAGUUACCUUGGGGGAGCUCUUAGGUUUGGGGCUGAUCCAUGUCCUCUAAAUGUAGGACUUCAAAGCUCCCAAAGAUAGGCAGGCCCAGUGGGAAGCUGGGAAAUGCUCUCUGACCCCUCUGGGAGGGCUGGCAGUCAGAGGGCCUUUUGGAAAGAGUCAGACCUGAUCCAUAAGUCCCUGGAAAACACCCUGCCCAGGGAGCAAAUGCCACUGUGGCCUUGACUGAGGCUUCAGAAGAGUUUGGGAGCUGCAAUUCAUCCACACACGCAUUCAUUUUCAAGUAGUGGUUUGCAGUUCAGGCUUUGGAGCCACAUAAGCCUGGCUUCAAAGCCACUUUCCAGCUUUGUAGGAAGUCUCUACAUUUUUAAACCUCCAUUUUUUUUUCCUGUAAAACUGGGGUCUUCAUGGUACUUAACUUCAUCGUGAUGUUGAGAGAAUGAAAAGAAAAAGGAUAAAUAAAUGGCUUAGCCUCGUGCCUUGGCACAUA